GCCUUUCUCUAGUGAAACCUCCCUUUGUCCUCAUCCUUCCUCCUCUGCCAAUCUCACACUCUGGGUUGUGGCGUUGUUUCUACCAGUGACCCCAUUCAACACAUGAUGUUAUGGAACGAGGCAGGGUGGGGACAUCCCAGUCGAGGAUCCUCCUGGAAGCUCUGAAGGAGAGUUUGUUCCUGGUGUCCUGCUUCUCUGCUCUGCCUGGGAGGAUGCUGAAUCAGAACAUUAAAAUAGUCUCUCAACUGAAGCCAAGUAAAGGACUUUUUCAAAUGCCCGGUUUACCUCCAGGUGGCUUAAAUCACAACAGGAAACAAGGUGCCGGCUGCCCAACUCAGCAAACCUGUUUGUUACAAAUAAGUCGACGUUGCCAAGGUGCAUGGAGCCUCCCUGGUGCAGAGGCCUUCACAUCCACGUCCGGCUUGAGUGGGCGAAGUGGCAAAAGCUCUAAUUAUGUUCGGGGAAGCUUCAAGUCCGAAGCAGCAAGCAUCACAGGUCAGAGACCGCUGGGAG
This 513-nucleotide long non-coding RNA is filed under the name Neogale vison (American mink). RNAcentral describes it as "Neovison vison (American mink) lncRNA (ENSNVIG00000008771.1)". Lineage: Eukaryota; Metazoa; Chordata; Mammalia; Carnivora; Mustelidae. The record is from RNAcentral.